Molecule: ribosomal RNA, 503 nt
Filed under: uncultured bacterium
Lineage: Bacteria
Description: partial 16S ribosomal RNA
Rfam family: Bacterial small subunit ribosomal RNA
Source: RNAcentral
AUUGAGCGCUGGCGGCAGGCUUAACACAUGCAAGUCGAGCGGGGUGAUGGUGCUUGCACUAUCACUUAGCGGCGGACGGGUGAGUAAUGCUUAGGAAUCUGCCUAUUAGUGGGGGACAACAUCUCGAAAGGGAUGCUAAUACCGCAUACGUCCUACGGGAGAAAGCAGGGGAUCACUUGUGACCUUGCGCUAAUAGAUGAGCCUAAGUCGGAUUAGCGAGUUGGUGGGGUAAAGGCCUACCAAGGCGACGAUCUGUAGCGGGUCUGAGAGGAUGCUGCGCCACACUGGGACUGAGACACGGCCCAGACUCCUACGGGAGGCAGCAGUGGGGAAUAUUGGACAAUGGGGGGAACCCUGAUCCAGCCAUGCCGCGUGUGUGAAGAAGGCCUUAUGGUUGUAAAGCACUUUAAGCGAGGAGGAGGCUCUUUUGGUUAAUACCCAAGAUGAGUGGACGUUACUCGCAGAAUAAGCACCGGCUAACUCUGUGCCAGCAGCCGCAGUAA